ACCUUUCUCUCUCUCCUUCAGAAGUUCCUGCUGUUGACAAUGGAGCUUUUCCUAAGUAUGAUGUCACUGUUGCUGUCCAAAUAUCUUUGAUGUCAAAAACCCAGACCUGGGGGAUCAGCAGCGGGAGAUUACAAAACUCUCAAGAAACAAAGGGUUUCCUCCUGCUUCACAUGCCCUUCAGAACAAAGGCUGCAAGAACAAAGCAGCACACAGAACCUUCAGUCAGAAACAGAAACAGCCUCUACAAAUUUUCAAAGGAAGUUCUGUCCACAUUUCCUUCUGGCACUUCAAGAUUCUUGAUUUCAAAAGCUCACAUAUCUGAAACACAGUGCUGGAGCUGG
Pseudonaja textilis is the source of this 341-nucleotide non-coding RNA. The record is from RefSeq and is a predicted model, not a curated record. NCBI's taxonomy places the organism in Eukaryota, Metazoa, Chordata, Lepidosauria, Squamata, Elapidae.